This 448-nucleotide ribosomal RNA is filed under the name uncultured bacterium. RNAcentral describes it as "SSU rRNA". It matches the Rfam family "Bacterial small subunit ribosomal RNA", at positions 26 to 518 of the family's 1533-position model. The record is from RNAcentral.
AGAACGAACGCUGGCGGCAUGCCUAACACAUGCAAGUCGAACGAGACCUUUCGGGGUCUAGUGGCUCACGGGUGCGUAACGCGUGGGAAUCUGCCCCUUGGUUCGGAAUAACAGUUAGAAAUGACUGCUAAUACCGGAUGACGACGUAAGUCCAAAGAUUUAUCGCCGAGGGAUGAGCCCGCGUAGGAUUAGCUAGUUGGUGAGGUAACGGCUCACCAAGGCGACGAUCCUUAGCUGGUCUGAGAGGAUGAUCAGCCACACUGGGACUGAGACACGGCCCAGACUCCUACGGGAGGCAGCAGUGGGGAAUAUUGGACAAUGGGCGAAAGCCUGAUCCAGCAAUGCCGCGUGAGUGAUGAAGGCCUUAGGGUUGUAAAGCUCUUUUACCAGGGAUGAUAAUGACAGUACCUGGAGAAUAAGCUCCGGCUAACUCCGUGCCAGCAGCCGC